ACUCCUACGGGAGGCAGCAGUGGGGGAUAUUGCACAAUGGAGGAAACUCUGAUGCAGCGACGCCGCGUGAGGGAAGAAGGUCUUCGGAUUGUAAACCUCUGUCUUUGGGGACGAAUCAAUGACGGUACCCGAGGAGGAAGCCACGGCUAACUACGUGCCAGCAGCCGCGGUAAU
RNAcentral lists this ribosomal RNA (174 nucleotides) under uncultured Ethanoligenens sp. RNAcentral's name for it is "partial 16S ribosomal RNA". It matches the Rfam family "Bacterial small subunit ribosomal RNA", at positions 335 to 524 of the family's 1533-position model. The record is from RNAcentral. Lineage: Bacteria; Bacillati; Bacillota; Clostridia; Eubacteriales; Oscillospiraceae.